RNAcentral lists this ribosomal RNA (253 nucleotides) under uncultured bacterium. Its description in RNAcentral is "partial 16S ribosomal RNA". It matches the Rfam family "Bacterial small subunit ribosomal RNA", at positions 524 to 776 of the family's 1533-position model. The record is from RNAcentral.
UACGAAGGGGGCUAGCGUUGCUCGGAAUCACUGGGCGUAAAACGCACGUAGGCGGAUUGCUAAGUCAGGGGUGAAAUCCUGGAGCUCAACUCCAGAACUGCCUUUGAUACUGGCGAUCUCGAGUUCGGGAGAGGUGAGUGGAACUGCGAGUGUAGAGGUGAAAUUCGUAGAUAUUCGCAAGAACACCAGUGGCGAAGGCGGCUCACUGGCCCGAUACUGACGCUGAGGUGCGAAAGCGUGGGGAGCAAACAGG